Molecule: RNA transcript, 2796 nt
Organism: Penaeus chinensis
Lineage: Eukaryota; Metazoa; Arthropoda; Malacostraca; Decapoda; Penaeidae
Gene: rump
Gene name: heterogeneous nuclear ribonucleoprotein M-like
Exons: 13
Source: RefSeq, a predicted model, not a curated record
GCCGAAGCCACAGCUGUCGUUCGGUCGAGUGAAGUCCGUAUCUCCCAAGCGCCGCCAUAGUUAAUGCGCGUCACUUCUGUUGAGAGACGGGGAAAUAUUGCCGAUUAUCAUGGAAAUGAAAGAAGAAAACGACUAUUCGGCCGAAAAUCGCGACAGGUCUCGUUCUCCUGUUGAUGAAGACAGUCGUGAUAGGGACCGUGACCGUGAUGGAGACAGCAACGAACGUGAAAGGGACCGUAAUCGCCGCAUGGAUCGCAGCAGAAGGACAGAUAGACAGAGGGGUGGCGGACGGCGUGCUCCAGUGGAGAGACGCAUCUAUGUUUCCAACAUUCCUUAUGAAUACAAGUGGCAGGACUUGAAGGAUCUCUUCCGCAAAGAAGUGGGUGAAGUUUCAUAUGUGGAAAUGUUCAAUGAUGAAAACAACCGCCCUCGAGGUUGUGCUGUCAUUGAGUUUGAGUCCACAGAGUUAGUACAAAAGGCCGUGGAGAUAAUGCACAGAUACGAGUUGAAAGGACGUAAACUUGUUGUAAAGGAGAAAGCAGAUGAACUACCCCUGGCCCAUUUAGCUCAAAUUCGGCUUGGAAACAGAAUGGUAAGCAGUGACACAAUGGACUUUGAUUCUGACCGUGAACGACACAGAGGAGGCAUAAUGAAAUCUGACAUGCGAGGAGGUCGUGAAUUUGCUCGUGGGGCAGAUAUUGGACCUCAGGGCAUGGCAAACAAAUUUGGGAAUACAUUUGGCUUGUCUACAGUAUUCCUUGAAUCUCUUGGCAUCACUGGACCUCUUGUUAACAAAGUUUUUGUUGCUAAUCUUGAUUACAAGGUUGAUGAAAAAAUGUUGAAAGAUGUUUUUAAAAUAGCUGGAAAGGUUGUGUCUGUUGAGAUUAGUAAGGACCAAGAUAACAAGAGUCGUGGAUUUGGCGUUGUGGAAUUUGAGCAUCCAGUGGAGGCUGUACAAAGUAUUUCUAUGUUGCACAACCAGACAUAUUAUGACCGCAAGAUGAGUGUACGCAUGGACCGUGUCUCUGAAAAGCAGGAAUCAACAGCAACGAAACUUCCUCCUGGCCUUAAGGGUCUGGGAAUGGGUCUGGGCAUUAAUGGGUCAGCCCUUACGGAUGUUGCCAAUAAUGUACCCUCCAUUAACCCAAGUAUCACAGGAGCUUUACCAAAUGCAGUUGCCCAAGGGGUGACAGGCAUGGCCAAUGUGGGUGCCAUGGCAUCAAACAUGGGGAACAUGGGUGGAGGGGGUGGUGGUGGCCAGAACAUGGGUGGGAUGGGGAUGAUGGGCAUGGGAGGAGGAGGAAUGGGUGGUGGCAUGGACAACAUGAACAGUGGAAUGGGAGGGAACAUGGGUGGUGGUGGAAUGGGUGGAAAUAUGGGGGGAGGCAGCAUGGGAGGUAACAUGGGAGGUGGUGGCAUGGGUGGUGGAAUGGGAAAUGGGAUGAUGGGCAACAUGGGGAUGGGAACUGGCAUGGGAAACAUGGGUUCAGGCAUGAACUCCUCAAACAUGGGUUCAGGCCUGGGGGGUGGUCUCGGGAGUAGCCUGGGUGGUGGGAGUGGGUUCAUGAACUCCAACAUGAACCGAGGAGCCAUUGGGGCCAGCUCAGUAGGGAGUGGCUCAGGCAGUGGGUAUGGUUCCUAUGGAUCAACUGGACUGUCCCGCGACUACAACCAUUCCAGCAGCAGCAGCAACAGCUACACCAGGAAUGUCAUUCAGCUGAGCAAUUUACCCAUGGAUUAUACCUGGCAAGCUCUGCGCGAUCUUUGCCGUGAGUUUGGAGACAUAAGGUUUGCUGAGAUCAGAUCGAAGGGCACCGGAACUGUGCGCUUCCAGACAGAGGCAGAUGCUCGUAGAGCAGUUGAAAUGCUUGAUCGCCAACGUCUGGAUGGAAGAAUCCUGGAUGUUUGCCAGCUUUAAUGCUAGUCAGAGGGGAGAUCACCAGGACUGUGUUGGGAAAGGGUCGCGACUCCACUUGGGAGUUGCACCACCUUGCCACACGUCGAAAGGGAUGAGAGGGGCGUGUUUUAUACGAAGAAAGACAACUGACAAGCUGCAACCCAAGGUAAGCACUGGAUCGAAGCAGGUGAGUGAGAGCAGAAAUGAUUGCCAAUGGUGGGUGUUGCUAUUUUUGUUUUUAGUAGUUUAGGUGUAGGCAGAUGAAAGUUAGUGCAGUUAGUUUAUUAUAGAAUCCAGUUUAGCUUGUGCUUUGUACUUAGCUCCUCAAACACACUACUAGUCUCAGUGAAAGAGGGUCACUUCAAAAAUGUAUUAAUGGGGUGGUAAUAAUGAUACUCUUUAGAGAUUGAUCACGCAAGUUUGGUUUAAGAAAAUUAAAAAUCCAAUUGGUAGCUUCAAGUACUAUAUGUGGGAGUAUAAAAAUGUCAAAUGUCGAAUAUCAAAUAUCAAAUAAAGUACCAGUGGUUGAACUGUGCUUCACAGAACAUUGGACAUUGGCAUAUAUCAUAUAUUGGCAUAAAGUGUAUUAUUUUCGAAGAUAGUAAGUUCCUGUUGAAACAUGUUCUUCGUAAACUAUUCUAGAAAUAGUAUGAUCAAUAAUUUCCGACAACUGCAACAGCUAGUAUGUAGAAUUUUAAGUCCUUCAUUUGUAAUUUGUUUGAUUUAAGUCAGCUUUAGAGGAAAAGUAAAAGUUCAUACAUUUUCUUCUUUAUAUUUCGCGUAUUCAGUUGAGAUCACUGGUAAUAGAAAUCAAAUAUUUUAGGGCUUUAGUUGUAGAGUAGCUAGUUCAAGAGAUGUACAUUUUUUUCCAACUUGAAAAAAUAAAAAGACAAAAUUCA